Molecule: long non-coding RNA, 1419 nt
Organism: Myiozetetes cayanensis
Lineage: Eukaryota; Metazoa; Chordata; Aves; Passeriformes; Tyrannidae
Exons: 4
Source: RefSeq, a predicted model, not a curated record
AGAAAAUGAACAGAAAUAUCAAGACACUGGAAAAAACAACAUUGAAAUAGAAUUUUUAUGAACUGCUGAGCUGAGAGCUGAGCUGGUACCAGCAGAGUGGGAUCAGUCAGUGGUCAGAUACCAUAUGCUGGAUUUCCAUAUUUUUCAGCCAUCUUUAAGACUGAUUCCUUGUGUUACAUGAGCAAGAGGGAGCCUGGAACUACACAACCUGUUGUUAAAGAAACCUACACCAUCACCAGGCAUCAGCUCCACUCUCCAGAGGCCCAGUCUCCAGACAAUCAACUCGUGUGCUGUUAGUGCUUUGUUUCUCUCACUUCUCCUGUGUACAUAUGAAACUGUCGAGCUGAAUUACACUUUAUAAGGUGAUAGGGAAAAGAUGUAACAUUUAUUUUUCCCUUUGACUAAUUUUUACAGUGUGGGGAAGCUAAUUUUUGCAGGCUAAAAACCAACAAAGCAAAACAAGUCCUGCUAUUCUUGACAUCUUUCAGGUAAACAAGAAAAGAAUUUGACAUCAUUUGCAAUUAUUAUCACUUUUUAAAAGCUCUGCUUUUAUAAUCAGAUGAGGCAUGACAACAAAUGAUGCUUAUUGAAAUCUAAAUUUUUACAUUAAAUACACCAAAUGAGCACAAAAGUAGAAUUUUAAGCCUAGAUGGAAAUCUGGUAUCACCUUCCAAAUCCCAUUUCCCACUGUUUUAAGGGGGAGUUGAACAUUGUGCAGCCUCACUGUAGAGAACAAUCGUUCCCUAUUAGUGCAGAUAUUUGACAUCUUCUCUAUGAAUCUUGAAAAGAGGGCCCAAAUCAGUGAUUUUUCUUGGUGUUUCACUGAAAUUUGUCUUGUGUGGACACCACUACUUUCCAGCCAUGUAAGCUUUUUUGAUACUGGACAAUGGAUUUCAAAGACCUGCUCAAGCUCCUGAAUGUGUGCUCCCUAUGGCAGACAGAGUGUACUCAUUUCUGACUCUUCAGAUAAGAGAUUUGCAAUUUCUAUGCCAAACCAGUCAAACCCCACAUCUUAUUUCAUUCACUAGAAAAUUAAAAUUGUGCACUAUACACAACACCGAUGUUUCUGUUCCCUGCCAGCACUUUGAUCCAUCUGACGGGAAAGUUCCCUCUAUGGAGUGUUUUCUACCUUGGUACCAGCACGAUGAUUCAGAAACCCUUGAAGAUAUAGUCAUAUUUUCAGCAACAGAUGGAUUUAACACUGCAGAUGGAGUGUUAAGAGUGCAGCACAGAGGUUGUUCUGCUUCGGAGAGGUUCCGUCUUAGCUUUCACCAGCAGGACAGGACAUUUGGUACUCAUCUGUGAGAAACAGAUCAGAGAAGGUGUCCAGUGCGUUAUAGGACUGACCACACUGAAUGCUGAAGACCUUGCCAUCCCCAUGGAUGCACCAAGCAUCUCCAUCCUCACCCUCUCAUCAGC